CCGUAAUUUUAAAAAAAUCUUAUUUUUCGUCCUUUUGAGUUUUUUCCAACUAUAAUGAAAACUACUUUAGAUAUCAAGAAAAUAACUUUCCCUGCCAGUGGCUAUAAUAUGUAUAUUUAAAGGAAUAAAAUCAAUCUCUUUUCAUUUUUCGAUUGGAACAAAAUUUCUGGUAGAAAAGUUGUUCACAAGCAAAAAAAAAAUAAAAACCACACAUCAUAUUAUGAUAUAUAGUAAAACAUAAUAAAAUCGAUAUAUCCCUCACUACGCUCCGAAGUGUAGUUAUUAAAAGCGUAUUUGAUUAAUAUACCUAGAAACUAUAAUAUUAUUAUUAUUGAUGUUUACUUACAAAUUUCUUUUCUUCCCUUCUCUUCCCAAUCUAAAAAGAAUACUGAUCGGACCCUCGUUGUUCAAAUAUUUAAUUAUGUAAGCAUGUCUUGUAUAAACCAUAUUGUAUGUAUAUUCGAAUGUAUAAUUAAAGGUAAUCGAAAUGAACGCUGAUCCACAUUGGACUUUACUUUACUUUUUAAGAAAUAAAC
Cinara cedri is the source of this 536-nucleotide non-coding RNA. The record is from the annotation of a GenBank genome assembly. NCBI's taxonomy places the organism in Eukaryota, Metazoa, Arthropoda, Insecta, Hemiptera, Aphididae.